AGAGUUUGAUCCUGGCUCAGGAUGAACUCUGGCGGCGUGCUUAACACAUGCAAGUCGAACGAAGCACUCAUGACAGAUUCUUCGGAUGAUGGAAUGAUUGACUGAGUGGCGGACGGGUGAGUAACGCGUGGGUAACCUGCCUCAUACAGGGGGAUAACAGUUAGAAAUGACUGCUAAUACCGCAUAAGCGCACAGUACCGCAUGGUAUGGUGUGAAAAACUCCGGUGGUAUGAGAUGGACCCGCGUCUGAUUAGCUAGUUGGUGAGGUAACGGCUCACCAAGGCGACGAUCAGUAGCCGGCCUGAGAGGGUGAACGGCCACAUUGGGACUGAGACACGGCCCAAACUCCUACGGGAGGCAGCAGUGGGGAAUAUUGCACAAUGGGCGAAAGCCUGAUGCAGCGACGCCGCGUGCGGGAUGACGGCCUUCGGGUUGUAAACCGCUUUUGUUGGGGAGCAAGCUUUUUGUGAGUGUACCUUUCGAAUAAGCACCGGCUAACUACGUGCCAGCAGCCGCGGUAAUACGUAGGGUGCAAGCGUUGUCCGGAAUUAUUGGGCGUAAAGGGCUCGUAGGCGGUUCGUCGCGUCCGGUGUGAAAGUUCACUGCUUAACGGUGGAUUUGCGCCGGGUACGGGCGGGCUGGAGUGCGGCAGGGGAGACUGGAAUUCCCGGUGUAACGGUGGAAUGUGUAGAUAUCGGGAAGAACACCAAUGGCGAAGGCAGGUCUCUGGGCCGUUACUGACGCUGAGGAGCGAAAGCGUGGGGAGCGAACAGGAUUAGAUACCCUGGUAGUCCACGCCGUAAACGGUGCACCCAAGAGGUGGGGCCCAUUCCGCGGGUUUCGGUGUCGGAGCUAACGCGGUUAAGCGUCCCGCCUGGGGAGUAGGGCCGCAGGGCUAAAACUCAAAGAAAUUGACGGGGGCCCGCACAAGCGGCGGAGCAUGCGGAUUAAUUCGAUGCAACGCGAAGAACCUUACCAGGGCUUGACAUGUUUCGGUUUGCCCCGGAGACGGGGUUUCCCUUCGGAGCCGUUUCACAGGUGGUGCAUGGUUGUCGUCAGCUCGUGUCGUGAGAUGUUGGGUUAAGUCCCGCAACGAGCGCAACCCUUAUGGUCAGUUACUAACGGGUGAAGCCGAGGACUCUGACAAGACUGCCGGGGACAACUCGGAGGAAGGUGGGGACGACGUCAAAUCAUCAUGCCCCUUAUGACAUGGGCUACAAACGUGCUACAAUGGUGGCUACAAAGAGGAGCGAGCCUGUGAAGGUAAGCGGAUCUCAAAAAAGCCAUCUCAGUUCGGACUGUGGGCUGCAACCCGCCCACACGAAGUUGGA
This 1331-nucleotide ribosomal RNA is filed under the name uncultured bacterium. RNAcentral's name for it is "partial 16S ribosomal RNA". It matches the Rfam family "Bacterial small subunit ribosomal RNA", at positions 8 to 1330 of the family's 1533-position model. The record is from RNAcentral.